RNAcentral lists this long non-coding RNA (309 nucleotides) under Brassica napus (rape). Its description in RNAcentral is "long non-coding RNA (BNAP_LNC020777)". Lineage: Eukaryota; Viridiplantae; Streptophyta; Magnoliopsida; Brassicales; Brassicaceae. The record is from RNAcentral.
AAGAAAGAGAGUGUAAGAAUAUGUAAGAGGAAAGAAAGUGUAAGAAUGUGUAAGAGGAAAGAGAGUGUAAGAUUGUGUAAGAAUUUGUAAGAGGAAAGAGAGUGUGAAGAAGGGUAUUUUUGGAAAUUCAAGGUAAGAAAUGUAGAGCAAUUUAUACAUAUGUCAAAUCAUGUAUAGAUUGCUAAUUUUGACACCAUUUAUGUAUAUUGAGCUAAUUCUCUCUUUUAUCAAUUGUUUUUAUUUUUUAUAAUGUUUUGAUUUAUAAAACUAUUUAUUUCAUUAGGUUUUGGAAAUGGAAAGAGUAAAAAA